Long non-coding RNA from Camelus dromedarius (Arabian camel), 493 nucleotides. RefSeq lists it as uncharacterized. The record is from RefSeq and is a predicted model, not a curated record. NCBI's taxonomy places the organism in Eukaryota, Metazoa, Chordata, Mammalia, Artiodactyla, Camelidae. The transcript has 3 exons.
AGCCCAAGUGAAUCUGCUCUUGUCAUCGAGGAUGGUCAAUGUGACAAAAUAAGCAGUCUGGGCCUCGCCUCCCCAGCUCCAGCGCGCUAGGGCCAGGCCUGUCGGAGGCGUUCGGAGCGACAAGCAGAACAAGGGCACGCGCCCCGCCGCGCCCGGCCGGCCGGCCGGCCGGGCAGACCCAGUGCGGCGCGGGCAUCGGACACCGGACACCGAGCGGAGCGCGGGUUAGAGGCGUGGAGCCGGGGAAGGGCGCAUGCAGGCAUUGCUAGGCUCCAAGCUGUGAAGUCGCUUCCAGAAGUCAAAUUGUUCUGAUUUUCCAACAAAGGCGUGGGCUCCUCUGUUUCUUUUUAAGUUCUGCAAUCCAGCUGACAAAUCAAGGCAUUUUUCCCAUUGAGAAUUAGGAAUCAGUCAUCGUUGGCGCUCCUGGAAAACUGCCAAGUCCCUCCAGAGGUACCUGUGAAGGCAUAAAAUAUAUUCUUACUUAUUUUAUGAA